CUAAGAAACACUAUUCUCUCCAUUUCUCAGAAGAAAGACAAGGGUACAGAAAGAGAUUAGAUGACUUUCCCAGAGAAUCUGUGGCAGAGCCAGUAAACUGAGUCCUAGUUCAGUGCCUUAACCAUCCUUCCUUUCAACUGCCUAUGCCUCAGGAUGGCCCUGCCUGGAACACUAUACUAACUUACGUGGAGCCAGAGACAGGCCCUUAGAUACUCUAGCCGAUACUACCACCCAGACAAUUUGGACUUCUACGGUGAAAAGUUAAUAAAACCAAAAAUCACCACACAUUAGAGUCUUCCAGUCAGUCCCAAAGGGUCAGGCGCUGCAUCCCAGACAUCCUAAAGGAUUUUUAUCAACGUCGGCUCUCCUGCAUGAAUCUUUGAACAACAGAUCUCCCUGUAGCAAGCCAUUGAAUUAUGGAGAGCCCUGGAGGCUUUGGCAGACGGUUUACAAACUGGAUCACUGCUCUGUAUGAUUCCCAUCAUCUCAUCCAGCAAUCUGAAGAAAUGGGAGAGAUUUGUUGAUAUCAAACUCCUGGCUUCCUGCCCUGUGUCAUCAUCAUCUUUGCUUUCUUUGGAUAUUCAUUGUUGGUUCAACUCGAUCAGUCCCUCAUUUGUCAGUUGAUCAUUGUGAGAUCCCAAUGACUUGCACAGCCUCUUCACCCAUCUCCUCAAAGCCAACAUCCUUUACCAACUUAAAUUUCUUGCUUGAGAGCAGGAAUUGCCUCAAAUCCCAUGAAACUGUGGACAUCAUCUGGCCAUUCAUACAUUGAAACGUGACUUCUUCCCACAAACUGGUCAAUGUUUUCCACAUUAUUCAAGCUGUUGUAGGACUUCCAAGACUCCUCUAUACUGGACUUUCCUUCACCUGCCAUCUCAUUAAUCAGCACGUAGAAUGUCCUCCAUAGGUAAUAAGCUUGGGAGGUGACAGGCGAACGUAACUAUUGUACAACAGGGGAACAUGUUCCAAUUCACAUUGGUCUCAAUCCAUGCAAAUGAUGGAAAUGCAGUUCAGAAACAUGAAACAAAAUAUAUUUCUUUAUUGUUGAUGUGUGAUGGACAUCUUAAAUAAUGAAUAAGGGGGAGAUGUAUACUGGGAUCUCCUGUACUCACAUGAAAAAACUUAUGCACCUUGUUAAAUGUUUACCGGAUCUGGUCUUUAGUUAUUUCUAUAGCUAGUUCUGGCUUUGUACAAUGAGUUUUUGUUUGACAUUGACUAAUUUAUUAAGAUCCCAACUGUAGCAUAUUAACAUCAGUAAUUUACACUUUUGUUUAUUAGAUGGGUUUUGUAGCUCAAGAAUAUUUCUGCCUUUCUGUAGUUCUUGUCAUGUUGCUUACCACAUCCUUUGAGAACAAAAAGGUAAAAAACAUCGCAAACAUAGA
Molecule: non-coding RNA, 1382 nt
Organism: Pelodiscus sinensis (Chinese soft-shelled turtle)
Lineage: Eukaryota; Metazoa; Chordata; Testudines; Trionychidae
Source: RefSeq, a predicted model, not a curated record